Molecule: long non-coding RNA, 829 nt
Organism: Homo sapiens (human)
Lineage: Eukaryota; Metazoa; Chordata; Mammalia; Primates; Hominidae
Product: long intergenic non-protein coding RNA 1192
Source: Ensembl
AGAGAUGAAGCCAACAUAGCUCUGUGUCUCACCCAAGGCCUGCUGUAACCACUCCCUGGUACUGCCUGUGUUCACUCAAGGUCCCGGGGCUCUACAAUCAGCAAGACAGCAUUGAAUUCAGAGCCUCACAAUUGCUGUGUUCUACUUCGCCUAGCAACCAGAGAUGAUCCCUGCAACAUGCUGCUGUUGCUGGGAGUGGGAAAGAGGUGGCAUCGGCGGUUCAAGACUGAGUUUUCUAUCUCUUCAGUGCCUCUUUCAACAAUGAAGAUCAAACCAGGUUUUGUGCAAAUAUCUGCUGAGUGAACUACUUAUUUGAAAAUACAUCAUUGGUUAAUAUUCCCUUUUGCUCAUUGAAAUCUCAAAGACUACAGACCCCGCACAAGACAUUCUGACAUUCCCGUCUUUGAAAUGAAUGACAGCAAUGAUAAAUAUGGCUCACCUCCAGAGAUACAGAUCUCACAACUUCAUAUUUUUAAUAUAAAUUAUUAAUCUGAGACAAACUACAAUAAAGCCAUGCCCUGACUGGAUGUGCCUAACAUUUGUCUGGUGCUUAAAGGAGUUGGCUGCAUGCGUGGGAUGGAGAAGGAUUCAACAUUUAAUGGCAGUUAGAAUCAAAUUUUUAACUCAAGAAGGCAGAAGGAAUCCACCUAAAUAAAUGUUGGAAAGUCACCAAAAAUAGUUCUCCAAGUCAGAAGCGGUGCAAAAGCUGCCUCAGCUCUUGGUGGAUUUUCAAUUUCUCCCAGCCAUCUCUGUUUCGCUAAAGGUUUCUGAAGACAGUGGGUAUGUGGCAAACUUCUGCAAUUCUAUAUUAAGAUAAACUGUUAGAUCA